CCUGACCAAGUGAGCAACACUAUAUGGAUCUUCUAUAAUAGGGCAAUCUUUAGCAUGAGAAAACCGCCAAUGAAACGGCCUCACGGUAGGACCCUCGUUCAAAGAACUUGACCUAUGAUCGGCACCCAAGGUCUUGGCUUUUUCUGGAGGACGAUCACGCCCAUUAGAGCCAGAUGGGCUAUUCGAGUUAGCACGAGCAGUCGUGCCUUUUCAAUCACUAUCUUUGGUCCGAUCCACA
RNAcentral lists this long non-coding RNA (238 nucleotides) under Brassica rapa (field mustard). Its description in RNAcentral is "long non-coding RNA (BRAP_LNC002756)". The record is from RNAcentral. Lineage: Eukaryota; Viridiplantae; Streptophyta; Magnoliopsida; Brassicales; Brassicaceae.